GGUUGUCGUCAGCUCGUGUCGUGAGAUGUUGGUUAAGUCCCGCAACGAGCGCAACCCCUAUUGUUAGUUGCCAUCAUUCAGUUUGGGCACUCUAGCGAGACUGCCGGUAAUAAACCGGAGGAAGGUGGGGAUGACGUCAAAUCAUCAUGCCCCUUAUGACCUGGGCUACACACGUGCUACAAUGGUUGGUACAACGAGUUGCGAGUCGGUGACGGCGAGCUAAUCUCUUAAAGCCAAUCUCAGUUCGGAUUGUAGGCUGCAACUCGCCUACAUGAAGUCGGAAUCGCUAGUAAUCGCGGAUCAGCACGCCGCGGUGAAUACGUUCCCGGGCCUU
RNAcentral lists this ribosomal RNA (334 nucleotides) under uncultured Streptococcus sp. RNAcentral describes it as "bacterial SSU rRNA". It matches the Rfam family "Bacterial small subunit ribosomal RNA", at positions 1047 to 1382 of the family's 1533-position model. Lineage: Bacteria; Bacillati; Bacillota; Bacilli; Lactobacillales; Streptococcaceae. The record is from RNAcentral.